This is a long non-coding RNA of Megalobrama amblycephala (Wuchang bream), 515 nucleotides long. RefSeq lists it as uncharacterized. The record is from RefSeq and is a predicted model, not a curated record. The transcript is spliced from 3 exons. NCBI's taxonomy places the organism in Eukaryota, Metazoa, Chordata, Actinopteri, Cypriniformes, Xenocyprididae.
GACUCUCUAUCACUAAAAGCCAGUAAUCAGGCAAAGAACUUAGGAAUCAUGUUUGACAGUGACCAAAGUACUGAUAUUAUUUAUUAUUUAUAUAAUUUGUAUAAAAUCUUAGAAAAAGCAGAAAAUUCAUGUUUCACGUUUCAGUGAAUGCAGAUAACAUGCGCAGUAUGAUCUGAUGUUCACAUCAUUAUUCUUCUGGAGAUGAUAGGAUGGAUGAUGAAACAGGAUUAGGCCUUCAGAAAGAGCCCAGAAAACCAGAGGAUCAAUGACUCAACGGGAGCCCAGAGUGGUCAGAUUGUCUUAAAGGAUGGGAGAGCUGGUUGCCAAGAUGAUUAUUCCUGGUGCAACCGAUGCUAGUCGUCGUCGUCGUCACUGGUUUCUGUGGGAACAGCGGUGAAUGGCAGUGAAGCGGAUCCUGCUGCAGAUGCUCCGAGUGUGUUAUCCAAGUGCUCCGUCGCUGCAGCGCUCCAUCAGAAUCCAGCUGCACGUCACUGAUGCACCAGAUGCAGAACCAU